This 1219-nucleotide ribosomal RNA is filed under the name uncultured fungus. RNAcentral's name for it is "eukaryotic LSU rRNA". The stretch from base 586 to 1219 matches the Rfam family "Eukaryotic large subunit ribosomal RNA", at positions 1 to 649 of the family's 3401-position model. The record is from RNAcentral. Lineage: Eukaryota; Fungi.
AGUCGUAACAAGGUUUCCGUAGGUGAACCUGCGGAAGGAUCAUUACUAGAGCAAAGGAUAGACAGCGCCCGUGGAGCUCGCUCCCGGGGCCACCCUACUCCGGUAGGGUUUAGAGUCGUCGGGCCUCUCGGAGAAGCUCGGUCCUGAACUCCACCCUUGAAUAAACUACCUUUGUUGCUUUGGCGGGCCGCCUCGUGCCAGCGGCUUCGGCUGUUGAGUGCCCGCCAGAGGACCACAACUCUUGUUUUUAGUGAUGUCUGAGUACUAUAUAAUAGUUAAAACUUUCAACAACGGAUCUCUUGGUUCUGGCAUCGAUGAAGAACGCAGCGAAAUGCGAUAAGUAAUGUGAAUUGCAGAAUUCAGUGAAUCAUCGAAUCUUUGAACGCACAUUGCGCCCUCUGGUAUUCCGGGGGGCAUGCCUGUUCGAGCGUCAUUAUAACCACUCAAGCUCUCGCUUGGUAUUGGGGUUCGCGGUUUCGCGGCCCCUAAAAUCAGUGGCGGUGCCUAUCGGCUCUACGCGUAGUAAUACUCCUCGCGAUUGAGUCCGGUAGGUCUACUUGCCAGCAACCCCUAAUUUUUUAAGGUUGACCUCGGAUCAGGUAGGGAUACCCGCUGAACUUAAGCAUAUCAAUAAGCGGAGGAAAAGAAACCAACAGGGAUUACCUCAGUAACGGCGAGUGAAGCGGUAACAGCUCAAAUUUGAAAGCUGGCUCUUUUAGGGUCCGCGUUGUAAUUUGUAGAAGAUGCUUCGGGUGUGGCCCCGGUCUAAGUUCCUUGGAACAGGACGUCAUAGAGGGUGAGAAUCCCGUAUGUGACUGGGUGCUUUCGCUCAUGUGAAGCUCUUUCGACGAGUCGAGUUGUUUGGGAAUGCAGCUCAAAAUGGGUGGUAAAUUUCAUCUAAAGCUAAAUAUUGGCCAGAGACCGAUAGCGCACAAGUAGAGUGAUCGAAAGAUGAAAAGCACUUUGGAAAGAGAGUUAAACAGUACGUGAAAUUGUUGAAAGGGAAGCGCUUGCAACCAGACUUGCGCGCUGAUGAUCAUCCGGGCUUCUGUCCGGUGCACUCGUCUGCGCUCAGGCCAGCAUCGGUUUCGGUGGUGGGAUAAAGGCCUUGGGAAUGUGGCUCCUCUCGGGGAGUGUUAUAGCCCUCGGUGCAAUACCGCCUACCGGGACCGAGGACCGCGCUUCGGCUAGGAUGCUGGCGUAAUGGUUGUAAGCGACC